GAUGAACGCUGGCGGCGUGCCUAAUACAUGCAAGUCGAGCGAACGGACGAGAAGCUUGCUUCUCUGAUGUUAGCGGCGGACGGGUGAGUAACACGUGGAUAACCUACCUAUAAGACUGGGAUAACUUCGGGAAACCGGAGCUAAUACCGGAUAAUAUUUUGAACCGCAUGGUUCAAAAGUAAAAGACGGUCUUGCUGUCACUUAUAGAUGGAUCCGCGCUGCAUUAGCUAGUUGGUAAGGUAACGGCUUACCAAGGCAACGAUGCAUAGCCGACCUGAGAGGGUGAUCGGCCACACUGGAACUGAGACACGGUCCAGACUCCUACGGGAGGCAGCAGUAGGGAAUCUUCCGCAAUGGGCGAAAGCCUGACGGAGCAACGCCGCGUGAGUGAUGAAGGUCUUCGGAUCGUAAAACGCUGUUAUUAGGGAAGAACAUAUGUGUAAGUAACUGUGCACAUCUUGACGGUACCUAAUCAGAAAGCCACGGCUAACUACGU
Molecule: ribosomal RNA, 496 nt
Filed under: uncultured bacterium
Lineage: Bacteria
Description: partial 16S ribosomal RNA
Rfam family: Bacterial small subunit ribosomal RNA
Source: RNAcentral